GUUAAGUGACGAAGCGUAUACGGUGGAUGCCUUGGCAGUUAGAGGCGAUGAAGGACGUGUAAGUCUGCGAAAAGCUGUGGUGAGCCGACAAAAUGCAUUUGAGCCACAGAUGUCCGAAUGGGGAAACCCACCUGUUUACAGGUAUCGUUAACUGAAUACAUAGGUUAACGAGGCAAACGAGGGGAACUGAAACAUCUAAGUACCCUUAGGAAAAGAAAUCAACCGAGAUUCCCCUAGUAGCGGCGAGCGAACGGGGAGCAGCCCUUAAGCUGUUUAGAAUUUAGUGGAAUCCUUUGGGAAGAGGAGCGAUACAAGGUGAUAGCCCUGUACACGACGGAUUCUUUACAGUGAAAUCGAGUAGGUCGGGACACGUGUUAUCUUGACUGAAUAUGGGGGGACCAUCCUCCAAGGCUAAAUACUCCUAACUGACCGAUAGUGAACCAGUACCGUGAGGGAAAGGCGAAAAGAACCCCUGUGAGGGGAGUGAAAUAGAUCCUGAAACCGUAUGCGUACAAGCAGUCGGAGCGGACUUGUUCCGUGACGGCGUACCUUUUGUAUAAUGGGUCAGCGACUUAUGUUCAGUGGCGAGGUUAACCGUUUAGGGGAGCCGUAGGGAAACCGAGUCUGAAUAGGGCGAUUUAGUCGCUGGGCAUAGACCCGAAACCGGGCGAUCUAUCCAUGAGCAGGUUGAAGGUUGAGUAACAUCAACUGGAGGACCGAACCCACUAACUUUGAAAAGUUAGGGGAUGACCUGUGGCUGGGGGUGAAAGGCCAAUCAAACCGGGAGAUAGCUGGUUCUCCCCGAAAUCUAUUUAGGUAGAGCCUCGGACGAAUUCCAUUGGGGGUAGAGCACUGUUAAGGCUAGGGGGUCAUCCCGACUUACCAACCCUUUGCAAACUCCGAAUACCAAUGAGAACUAUCCGGGAGACACACGGCGGGUGCUAACGUCCGUCGUGGAGAGGGAAACAACCCAGACCGCCAGCUAAGGUCCCAAAAUAUUGCUAAGUGGGAAACGAUGUGGGAAGGCAUAGACAGCUAGGAGGUUGGCUUAGAAGCAGCCACCCUUUAAAGAAAGCGUAAUAGCUCACUAGUCGAGUCGGCCUGCGCGGAAGAUGUAACGGGGCUCAAACUGGUUACCGAAGCUGCGGCUGUGCACGCAAGUGCACGGGGUAGGGGAGCGUUCUGUAAGCCUGCGAAGGUGUGUCGAGAGGCAUGCUGGAGGUAUCAGAAGUGCGAAUGCUGACAUGAGUAACGACAAUGGGGGUGAAAAACCCCCACGCCGGAAGACCAAGGGUUCCUGCGCAACGCUAAUCGGCGCAGGGUGAGUCGGCCCCUAAGGCGAGACCGAAAGGUGUAGUCGAUGGGAAACGGAUUAAUAUUUCCGUACCUUGGAUAGCUGCGAUGGAGAGACGGAGAAGGCUAGGUGAGCCGGGCGACGGUUGUCCCGGUUUAAGCAUGUAGGCAGUGGGAUUAGGCAAAUCCGGUCCCACAAUGCCGAGACGCGACGACGACUGCCCUUUUAGGGCGGGAAGUCAUUGAUGCCCUGCUUCCAGGAAAAUCUUCUAAGCUUCAGGCUAUUCGAGACCGUACCCCAAACCGACACAGGUGGUCAGGUAGAGAAUACUAAGGCGCUUGAGAGAACUCGGGUGAAGGAACUCGGCAAAAUUGUACCGUAACUUCGGGAGAAGGUACGCCUCUGUUUGUGAACACUUCGCGUGGUAAGCAAAUGGAGGCCGCAGUGACCAGGUGGCUGGGACUGUUUAUUAAAAACACAGCACUCUGCAAACUCGUAAGAGGACGUAUAGGGUGUGACACCUGCCCGGUGCCGGAAGGUUAAUUGAUGGGGUUAGUUUUCGGACGAAGCUCUUGAUCGAAGCCCCGGUAAACGGCGGCCGUAACAAUAACGGUCCUAAGGUAGCGAAAUUCCUUGUCGGGUAAGUUCCGACC
This 1947-nucleotide ribosomal RNA is filed under the name Ochromonas sp. CCMP1393. RNAcentral's name for it is "partial Bacterial large subunit ribosomal RNA". It matches the Rfam family "Bacterial large subunit ribosomal RNA", at positions 1 to 1988 of the family's 2925-position model. Lineage: Eukaryota; Chrysophyceae; Chromulinales; Chromulinaceae. The record is from RNAcentral.